UACGUAGGGUCCGAGCGUUGUCCGGAUUUAUUGGGCGUAAAGAGCUCGUAGGCGGUUCCGUAAGUCAGAUGUGAAAACUCAGGGCUCAACCCGGAGACGCCAUCUGAUACUGCGGUGACUGGAGUCUGGUAGGGGAACACGGAAUUCCUGGUGUAGCGGUGAAAUGCGCAGAUAUCGGGAGGAACACCUAUGGCGAAGGCAGCUCGCUGGGACGUUACUGACGCUGAGACGCGAAAGCGUGGGGAGCAAACAGG
This 254-nucleotide ribosomal RNA is filed under the name uncultured bacterium. Its description in RNAcentral is "partial 16S ribosomal RNA". It matches the Rfam family "Bacterial small subunit ribosomal RNA", at positions 524 to 776 of the family's 1533-position model. The record is from RNAcentral.